This is a long non-coding RNA of Eleginops maclovinus (Patagonian blennie), 2654 nucleotides long. RefSeq lists it as uncharacterized. Lineage: Eukaryota; Metazoa; Chordata; Actinopteri; Perciformes; Eleginopidae. The record is from RefSeq and is a predicted model, not a curated record. The transcript is spliced from 3 exons.
UAACUUUUGUACUCAGAGGAAUAUCUUGUUGUAUACAUUUUAGAAUCUUAUUUUUUUUAAUCGCAAUGGCUACUAAUGAGGCUAUACAUGUAAAUUAUCCACGAUUUGCAGAAUUGUUUAUCGGGUUUUUCUCCUUCGGUUGUGUUGCACUGGUUAAAUUUAUGUACACAGACCAUGAGGCAGAAGAGGAGAGGGAGAAGCAGCGGUGGCUCUCCAGUAAACAGGCUUUCUACCAGUGUCUGGUUGCUGUUGCAGGAAUUUUGGUCACUGGUCUGAAUGUGCCCUUAAAGUAUGUCAACGACUUCCUGCAGGCUAUUGGACUUCAAGUUGGCCUUCCUGUAUACCCAGUGACACCAGAUGGGGUCUUCUUUGUCGCCCAGUGGGUUCUUCUGCUUCUAAUAUGCUACUAUGUGAUCGUCCUUGUCUUUGUAUUGUUCAGCUUCUUUCUGAGAAAACUGUGGUGGCUGCUGAAAGUGGCAUUGGCUUUGGCUUGUUUCGGAAAGAUCCUAAACGACGAUAGUAUUGACACAAAAACCAUGGUUUUCAGGGUUAUGUGCCUAAUGUGUAUCUGCAUCCUAUACGCCAUCAGGCCAUGGAACGAUCGGACUAUGACAGCUAGAAUUGUUUAUCUGGAAGGGCAGGUGAAGAUUUUAGAAAAUCGUGUGAAAGAGACUGACCUAUGGAGAAAAAGAUGUUUGAUUUUGUUUUUUUGUCUGAUAGGUCUUUUGUGUUUUGUGUUUUUAUGUUGUGUUAUCUUAUUGAAGUUAAAUACAAGAGGGUGGUACACAUGACAAAUCCAGAAAAGUUAAUGUUUUCAAUCACUAACAAACAAUUCAAAUCAAACAGAUUGGCUCUUCCAUUUCACUACACUUGAUAUUAAAACCAAUUAUACAAUGAUAUAAAACCACUGAAAAUUAGAGGAGAAUUAGGCUGGGGGUGGUCUUGCUCAUUUCAAACCCCUUGAGUCGUGUGAGUCAGCAUGUUUCCAGGCUUCAGUAUGUAGCCUUUUGAUGUUUGUAGCCAGAAUUCAUGCAAGCAGACUUUAACUUGUCGUUCAUACUUUUAGUAACCUAUUGUAAUUUUAUAUAAUCAUAAGUAACCUCUUUCUUCAUAUUGACGGGCGACAGCUGUUUUACAGAAUCCAUAUGAGUACGGUUGAAAUAAAAUAUUCAAAACUAGACUACCUUCAAUAGGCUAAAUCAAUCCAUAUCGAGUACCAUUGCAUACAAUGCUCAGGAUGAAAUCAUUAAUAUUCAAAGCAGGUUCACAGCUUAUCAACAAAGCUCCCUGAUGACUUUAAAAUCUCUUUCCAAAUAAAGGGAACCCUAUACAGCAGGCUGCAAUCAGUGCUCCCUUCAAUUUGUUUUUUUCUGUCCUUCAUUUGAUUUUUAUUCUUUUCAUACUAUGAAUGAAGUCAAUAUUUUACAAACUACAGUUUUAGGGGAGAUUUUGUCCAUAUCUUAUAUACUUAAAUGGUUUCCAAUGUGUGUCUUUAUCGAAGGAACUCAAUUCAAAUUUCAGCUAGUAACUGUUUUAUGCGGUGGUGCUGGCCUAUUUAAAACCAGUAAAAAAAAUGGAAAUAUAAUAAGUAACUCAUCAAAAAGACUGCCCUUUCCUGUCCUUCGCUCUCAGACGCCAGAUUUCUUUAAGAAGACCGCUCUGAAACUAUCAAGCCACCACAGGAAAAACACUCAACGCUCAAUUUGUGUCUCAGCUUUUGGCUGAAAGCUUUUCUUCUAAGAGUCCUAAAGAUGUGAGGGGCUUUUUACUAUGGCAGGAAUGAAGGCAGCUGUCGUCACCCAAAUAGGAGAUACAAAAGUGUUGAAACGUUUUUGUACUUCCCCAAGUGCGAUGAAUGAUCUCAUUCUGGAGAGAUUUCUCAGCUAAAGAAGAUGAAGCUGAGAAAAUACUCAUGACCUUUUCAUCAAAUUUGGAUCAGUAUUACAUAUAGUUAUCUGCUGUAUCCCACACUGCUUAUAUAAUAACAAAUUCAAUGGAAAGUGUUGGUAACCCUUUUUUUAUAAAGGCAGUGUAAAUGGGAUUUUUGUACAGCAGCAGCCAGAACUCUCAUACUCUUGAACCAAACACACGAGAUAUAUGAAAAAAAAAAGGUUACGGCAAUCGGACUGUAUCAGAAUGGCUCCUGGAUAUGUAGUUCAGUAGCCGUUUGGUUAUUAGUUAUCACAAGUAUGUUUUCCUCACUGCCCUGAUUUGAUCCUGGAAAUGUUCUUUAUAUGAGCAGACAAAGGAAACAGUAGCCCAACAUUUGGAAACACUAUCCUUGCUUACUCUCAUUACGCUCUCAAGUUGUCACUCAGGUAUAUUUCUCUCCUCUCCAUCUUAUUACGGGUAACAGAAUACACAGUAUCAGGCCGUGGGAUCAAAAUAGAGCUCCUGACAGAGUGAUAAUGUCUGUGGCGAGAAGAAGAAGGACCUAAUCUAGCCAGUCUGACAGCAGUCACCAACUAUCCCUCUGCAUUACCUUAAUUGGAUAGUUAUCGAUUCUCUUGAAGGAGCGGGAUACAUUUAGCAGCAUGAUUCUGCAGGGCAGCAUGUUGCUCCUGUUACUUAACAUUCCCAUACACGUGAUUUUCUCUGUACGUGCGCGUGUGUGUUAGGUAUGUUUCUGUUAUUUCUUUAUUAAGAGUGUGCUU